This 353-nucleotide unclassified non-coding RNA is filed under the name Nocardia brasiliensis. RNAcentral's name for it is "16S-23S ribosomal RNA intergenic spacer". The record is from RNAcentral. Lineage: Bacteria; Bacillati; Actinomycetota; Actinomycetes; Mycobacteriales; Nocardiaceae.
CUAAGGAGCACUUCUCCGGACAUGCCCGCACAGGUGGGAAUGUUGUUCCGGCAGAGACCGUUUCGGGCUCACACGUAGUCCGGCGGACGCUCAUGGGUGGAACGCUGACAGCUUCAUCGCACUCGAUCAGGGCUCAGUUCCUGGUCGCGGUGAUAUACCGACACACUAUUGGGUCCUGAAAGAACACGCGGAAGCGGGUUUUUUCCAGGCAAGAUAACGAUCCGCUCGGAUCUUCGUUCAGUACCGCAGGGCGUGCCCUGGCUGGCUUCGAGAUUCUGGUUCGAGUGGGUGUGUUGUUUGAGAACUGCACAGUGGACGCGAGCAUCUUUGUUAGUAAGUGUUUAAGAGCGUAC